RNAcentral lists this ribosomal RNA (434 nucleotides) under uncultured bacterium. RNAcentral's name for it is "partial 16S ribosomal RNA". It matches the Rfam family "Bacterial small subunit ribosomal RNA", at positions 30 to 507 of the family's 1533-position model. The record is from RNAcentral.
AGCGAACGCUGGCGGCAGGCCUAACACAUGCGAGUCGAACGAACCUUUCGGGGUUAGUGGCGGAGGGGUGAGGAACACGGGGGAACGUGCCUUUAGGUACGGUAUAACUCAGGGUAACUUGUGCUAAUACCGAAUGUGCUCUUCGGGGGUAAGAUCUACUGCCGUUAGGGGGGCGGGGGUCUGUUUAGCUAGUUGGGUGUGGGAAUGGCUCACCAAGGCGACGAGCCGUAGCUGGGCUGAGCGGAGGAUCAGCCACAUCGGGACUGAGACACGGACCCAACUCCUACGCGAGGGAGAGGAGGGGAAUAUAGCGCAAUGGAGGAUGGCCUGACGCAGCCAUGCCGGGUGAGUGAUGCAGGUGUUAGGAAUGUGAAAUUGUUUCACCCGGAGCGAUAGUGACGGUACCCGGAGAAGAAGCCCCGGCUAACUUCGUG